Molecule: long non-coding RNA, 275 nt
Organism: Teleopsis dalmanni
Lineage: Eukaryota; Metazoa; Arthropoda; Insecta; Diptera; Diopsidae
Exons: 4
Source: RefSeq, a predicted model, not a curated record
AGAAUCAAACAGCGGUUAAACUACAAAGGCAAACGGAUUUUUGGAUGCUGCAUUUUUGUGACAUUUCUGUGAAUCCAAUUUAACUAGCAAAUAAACGUUUAAGUAUAAAUAACAUGGCCAAAAGCAGGAUUGUUUGCAAAUAAUAUCCAAUGUCAAUAUUACCGCAGCGUCGAGUAUAUUGCAUUUAAAUUCUUUACAUGCCAAGAAGAGUUUCAUUUCUUACUAAACAAGAACGAAGGAGCAACUUUACUAUCAAAUUCGAGUGCAGUGUUAUG